RNAcentral lists this ribosomal RNA (254 nucleotides) under uncultured bacterium. RNAcentral describes it as "partial 16S ribosomal RNA". It matches the Rfam family "Bacterial small subunit ribosomal RNA", at positions 524 to 776 of the family's 1533-position model. The record is from RNAcentral.
UACGGAGGUGGCGAGCGUUGUCCGAAGUUACUGGGCGUAAAGCGCGCGUAGGCGGGUAGGUAAGUGAGGGGUGAAAGGCUGAGGCUCAACCUCAUGUUUGUCCUCUCAUACUGUCUAUCUUGAGUGAGGUAGGGAGAAGUGGAAUGGCUGGUGUAGCGGUGAAAUGCGUAGAUAUCUGGAGGAACACCGGUGGCGAAGGCGGCAUCCUGGACCGACACUGACGCUGAGGAGCGAAAGCCAGGGGAGCAAACGGG